RNAcentral lists this ribosomal RNA (282 nucleotides) under uncultured bacterium. RNAcentral describes it as "partial 16S ribosomal RNA". It matches the Rfam family "Bacterial small subunit ribosomal RNA", at positions 335 to 603 of the family's 1533-position model. The record is from RNAcentral.
ACUCCUACGGGAGGCAGCAGUGGGGAAUAUUGCACAAUGGGGCACGCAGCAUGACUGCAGCCAUGCCGCGUGUGUGAAGAAGGCCAAUUCGGGUUGUAAAGACACUUUCAGUCGUGAGGAAGGUAGUGUAGUUAAUAGCUGCAUUAUUUGACGUUAGCGACAGAAGAAGCACCGGCUAACUCCGUGCCAGCAGCCGCGGUAAUACGGAGGGUGCGAGCGUUAAUCGGAAUUACUGGGCGUAAAGCGCAUGCAGGUGGUUUGUUAAGUCAGAUGUGAAAGCCC